AUUGAACGCUGGCGGCAGGCCUAACACAUGCAAGUCGAGCGGUAGAGAGGUGCUUGCAUCUCUUGAGAGCGGCGGACGGGUGAGUAAUGCCUAGGAAUCUGCCCUAGUGGUGGGGGAUAACGUUCGGAAACGGACGCUAAUACCGCAUACGUCCUACGGGAGAAAGCGGGGGAUCUUCGGACCUCGCGCCAUUAGAUGAGCCUAGGUCGGAUUAGCUAGUUGGUGAGGUAAUGGCUCACCAAGGCGACGAUCCGUAACUGGUCUGAGAGGAUGAUCAGUCACACUGGAACUGAGACACGGUCCAGACUCCUACGGGAGGCAGCAGUGGGGAAUAUUGGACAAUGGGCGAAAGCCUGAUCCAGCCAUGCCGCGUGUGUGAAGAAGGUCUUCGGAUUGUAAAGCACUUUAAGUUGGGAGGAAGGGUAGGUAACCUAAUACGUUGCUACUUUGACGUUACCGACAGAAUAAGCACCGGCUAACUUCGUGCCAGCA
This 492-nucleotide ribosomal RNA is filed under the name uncultured bacterium. Its description in RNAcentral is "bacterial SSU rRNA". It matches the Rfam family "Bacterial small subunit ribosomal RNA", at positions 30 to 513 of the family's 1533-position model. The record is from RNAcentral.